GCGCCCAUGGCUCAAUUGGAUAGAGUGUCUGACUACGGAUCAGAAGGUUGGGGGUUCAAAUCCCUCUGGGCGCG
Molecule: transfer RNA, 74 nt
Filed under: Nitrospirota bacterium
Lineage: Bacteria; Pseudomonadati; Nitrospirota
Also listed under: 1 other name
Description: Nitrospirae bacterium (sediment metagenome) tRNA-Arg
Rfam family: tRNA
About the family: Transfer RNA (tRNA) molecules are approximately 80 nucleotides in length.
Source: RNAcentral